AGAGACAGCAGCCGCCACGGUAAAACGUAGGGUGCAAGCGUUGUCCGGAAUUAUUGGGCGUAAAGAGCUCGUAGGCGGUUUGUCGCGUCUGCUGUGAAAUCCCGAGGCUCAACCUCGGGCUUGCAGUGGGUACGGGCAGACUAGAGUGCGGUAGGGGAGAUUGGAAUUCCUGGUGUAGCGGUGGAGUGCGCAGAUAUCAGGAGGAACACCGAUGGCGAAGGCAGAUCUCUAGGCCGUAACUGACGCUGAGGAGCGAAAGCAUGGGGAACAAACAGGAUUAGAUACCCCUGUAGUCCCUGUCUCUUAUAC
RNAcentral lists this ribosomal RNA (309 nucleotides) under uncultured bacterium. Its description in RNAcentral is "partial 16S ribosomal RNA". It matches the Rfam family "Bacterial small subunit ribosomal RNA", at positions 504 to 807 of the family's 1533-position model. The record is from RNAcentral.